This is a long non-coding RNA of Homo sapiens (human), 6158 nucleotides long. RefSeq lists it as uncharacterized. NCBI's taxonomy places the organism in Eukaryota, Metazoa, Chordata, Mammalia, Primates, Hominidae. The transcript is spliced from 2 exons. The record is from RefSeq and is a predicted model, not a curated record.
AAUGGUGGUGCCAUCACAUUGAGAAAGGGUUGAGGACUGCGGUGGGGCUAUGCACCCUUGGGCCAUGGCGUUGGGGGCAUGAAAACCAGGAGCUUGAAAUAAAUUCUUAUGGAGGCUUUUUUUUUUCUUUUUUUUUUUUUUUUUGGAAUUCGUGGUGGGAGGUUUUUUUAGAACAGGAAAAUGGAAGAGAAUACAUUCUGUUAGCAGAGAGGGAAGACUGAUAAGCAGGAAACUGGUAAGGACCACAUUAUCUCCUGAUAGCUUGUGUAAAAGUAUUUCGUAGGACAGGAUACCUAAAAUUGAGUAAUCCUAAAUGGCGUGGUAACAUCAGUAGUAAACAAUGCUAAAAUAGACUUGGUAGUUAAGUACUUGGAGAGGAGAUGAGGGCUGGAAGAAUGGCACCCUAGGUACAGAGACUCGCUUCCUGUAGAGAGCUCACUGGAGGCGGCUGCCAGCUGUGUGGCCACUGUGGCCCCACCGGCUUUGUAGCUGGGCUCGUAGCUGCCGUUUCCCAGCCCUUGCUUCAGGCCUGGGGAAGUCCUGCUUGCACACACGGUAUGAGGUAUGGGGUGUUGUCUUGAAUGUGUGUGGUCCUGGGGCAUGGGGUUUGGCAGAACAUUCUGUGAAAAUGGAAUACAUAUAUGUUUUUUUUCGUGACACUUUUUUUCUUUUGCUUUUGGAGAUUUUUCAAUUUGGCUCCAGGACCUGUAUGAUGUUUUCAAGCUUUGCAGAGAUGCUCAAGAUAUGACUGGACAUUUUUGAAAGUUCCUGUGUCCUCUUCAACACAUCUUCUCACCAAACAUUAAUUGUAGUGUCUUUUCUUCCAGAAAACUUGCAUAAAAUGACUUCCUCUCCUGUGAAAACAGUGUCCUGCUCUGAAUGGAGCUUUAAAGGAGUAGCACAAAUUGUAAGAUGAUGUAUCUUGAGGCUGGGGCUUAGAGAUAUUCUGCUGCCUCCCAGAGCUUUGUGCAGACGGGUCUGCCAGGGUGGGAAAGGGAAGCCUCCGUUCUUUUUGGUAAGCUAGCAUAAAGACAGGUAAGGGAGUCUAUUUUCAAGAAAGCUGGAUCUGUUUCAUACUCUUUCUGCCCCUAAUCACUAUGGACAGCUCCAGCAGCACAAAGAGAUGAAGGGCAAAGGCAGGAUGCAGCAGGCAAAGUUAACAUUGUAUUUGUGAGUACAGUUGAGGAUAAAAAAGGGAUGAAAUCCACGGUGAGGACCAUCAUGGUGGGGGAAUAGUUUAUUCUAAUGGAUUCAAGAGCUUUGGAGACCAAACUAACACAUUUAUUUUUAUGUGUAGUUAAAGUCAUAGAAACCUGUUUUGUGAAACCUCAGAUUUCUAAAGAAAACCAGAAGCAAGACCUUCCUUGGUUUAAAAAAAAAAAAGCAUUUCUUCAAGCAGUUUGGACCUGUUUUUCGUGUGUAUAAAACAGCUUUUUAAAUGUCUAUGUAAAGAGCAUUGGGAUUGCUGUUGGUGGUUUUCUGUGCUACUUGAGAAAGUAAGUCUGUAUGUGUGAAACUCUUUUUUUUUUUUUGAGACAGAGUUUCGCUCUGUCGCCCAGGCUAGAGGGCAGAGGCGCAAUCUCCGCCCACUGCAAGCUCCGCCUCCCGGGUUCAACGCCAUUCUCCUACCUCAGCCUCCCGAGUAGCUGGGACUACAGGCACCCGCCACCGUGCCUGGCUAAUUUUUUGUAUUUUUAGUAGAGACGGGGUUUCACCAUGUUAGCCAGGAUGGUCUCGAUCUCCUGACCUCGUGGUCCACCCGCCUUGGCCUCCCAAAGUGCUGGGAUUGCAGGCCUGAGCCACCAAGUCCGGCCAAUGUGAAACUCUUUUAGAAAGGCCCAAGAGAUUUUUUUUCAGUAGAAUAAAAUACUGUUGGAUAAUCACUGGUAUAUGAAGAUUCUAUUUCUGUUAAAUUUGUUGAGUUUUAGGUGGCUUACAGUUAGUGACAGUAGUUGCACCCUCCAUUCAACAAGCUUAAUUUUACAGUUUAGGGAGGGAGGAUUUAUACUUUUGGAUUAACAGCAAGAAAAAUAGCAAAAAUUAAGAUGCAUCUUAAUUAGCACUUUCAGAAAUUAUUUGUGGAAUGAGACUGCAGUUACCAGAGCUCUCUGCAUUCUGCCAGUGCACAAGUCUUGGAGUCCAGCCUAUCUGGACUUAAGGCUCUACCACGCGCUACCAGGAGACCGUGGAAAUGGUAUUUAGCAUCUUGGAGCCUUGGUGUCAUUUGUAGAUAAGGUGCGUGGUCCUGAAGUCCUGGACUUGUGGAGAUGGAACGAAGCUUAGAUUAAGUCAGAUGCUUAGUGCUCCUGGCAACGUGCCUGAGGAGCUGUCAGUGCUGGGUGCUGUGGUUCCUGCCUGGACACCCCUUCACCCUGCUGCAGUCCAGUCCCUUGGUCAGGUCACUUUUUUUUUUUUUUAACUGCUCCUUGAGGAGCAGGACUACCCCAGAGGCAGUGUGGCUAGAGUAGCCCGGUCAGGUCACUUUGAACCCCAGGAGGCCUAGUAAACUUGCUUUGGGUGAUUUUAGGGUUUAAGUCAUCUGUAAGUGGUCUGCCCAGCUACCUAUAAAUCUAUAUCCAUUAAUUUUAAAUUAUGGAUUAAAAAAUUUUAAUUUCUAGUUAUUAUUUUUAUGACUGACUUCCCCUAGUCACAUUACUGAGCAAACUACACACAUCUUAUUGAUCCUAAGAAUUCUGUAAGGUAGAUGUUUAUUUAAACAACACCGUGUUUACUGUGUGCAAGAUGUUGUUUUAAGCACUCAGACAUAAUAACUUAUCUGGUUUUCAUCAUAACUUCAUAAGGGCAAAAAAGGCAAGUACUAUCAUGUGCACCGUCUUACAGGUGAUGGGAUUGAGGCACAGCGAGGUCAAGUUACGUGCCCAGGGUCACACAGACAUUAAUGACCUUUUUCCAUGACUGUGGAAGUGCUGAGGAGCUAGAGGACACUGUCCUUGUUAAACACCAACUGAGUGGGGCUUCCUAGCCCACUCAGCCUAAAGCUCAGCCCUCUGAAGAACCAAUGAGGAAACCAGUGGGGAAACUGGGAACUGCCGGCCAAGCCUGCCUCUACUUGGGGUCAGUGGCCUCACUGCAUUCCAUGAGCUUGCACAGUACCACUAUGUCUUAGUUUUGUGAAGCGUUUAAAUUCUGUAAAGCCCUGUCACCUGAUGUUUGAGCCCUAGAACAUAAUUGGUGUAUGGUAAAAGCAAGUGAUAGCCUUCCUUCUCAGAUAAAAAAGAGGUCACUGACCUGCUUAUGGUGAGAUCCUGUCUGAACUGGGCCUGGGACCCCAUCUCCUGACAGUGCAGCUAGCCUAGUUCUCUGUUUCCUGCUGCCUCAGUAACUGAAUGUAGUAAUUUCAUUUGGAGCAGAGGUCAGCUUGUCUUUGGAAAAGCCUCUAUUCAGCAGAAAAAGCAUCAGCAGUAUAUUUAAAAGCUGCCAUGUAAUGACUAUAGGGACUCCAUUGAGCAGAUCCUUUUCUUAUCUCCAGAUCUUUUCCCUCAACUUCCAGAGCAUGUCCUUACACCUGAGAUGUAGGUACCCCCAGCUCUGUCCCAUAUCCAGUGGCAUAGUAACCAGGUGGCUUAGUGGAGGAGGACGCAGGACCCUCUGUUGUGGUUUGUGCCUGUGGGGGCUGCCAGAGAGAGGGCUCACCCCAUGAUUGCCUUCACCCCAAUCUCUCACAUGCUUCAAAAGAGGGGUCUGGUGGGAGGGGCUGUGUUUAAGGGUGGGAUCUGGCAGCCUGUCAAAUCCUGGUCAGUUGGGAUUCAACGGACCCAUGACCACAAGCCUCAUGGCCUUUCCUGUUGACCAGCAGUGGCAGUGGGAACAACUCACCUUUUGAAAAUACAUAGGAAGGCCGGGUGCGGUGGCUCACACCUGUAAUCCCAGCACUUUGGGAGGCCGAGGCGGGUAGAUCACGAGGUCAGGAGUUCAAGACCAGCCUGGCCAACAUGUGAAACCCCGUCUCUACUAAAAAUACAAAAUUAGCCGGGCGUGGUGGCACAUGUCUCUAAUCCCAGCUACUCGGGAGGCUGAGGCAGGAGAAUCACUUGAACCUGGGAGGCAGAGGUUGCAGUUAGCUGAGAUCGCACCAUUGCACCCCAGCCUGGGUGACAGAGCAAGACUCCGUCUCAAAAAAAAAAAAAAAAAAAAAUAGGAAAAGUUAUCUCUGUGCUCCAGAAUUCUCUGAAACCUGCUUGUCAGAUGGACUAGAGGCUUUCGUAGAAAAGUCAGUUGCUUUUUGUUUUCUGAAAAUCAUUUUGUCCCGGGGAAAAAAAAAGCCUCACUGCAGAUAAUCAUUCUCUAUGUUAGGUGUUAAAAUCCUUUACACAGGAGUUGCAUAGAGCCCCUACUGCCUAGAAUGGUUCUUCUGAAAAGCUGCUAUUUGCGCUGUGUGGGUGGUUACUCAUUGAGGGGCAGAGCUGCUCUCGGUGAGCGGUGGGUCUCUUUGCCCUGGGUGUGUGGCUGUGUGGUUGUGUCUAGGAAGUGUGAAUCUCCAGUGUAGUGCUGUGGAAGAGAGGGGCAGGGAAAUAUGAACUCAAGAGGCGGUGCCUCAGUGCAGCUGCUGCUGUGGAGAGCUGUUGGGCUGUGGAGCAGGACGUGGAUCAGCACUGGACAAGACUUUGUUCAAGUGCAUGUAGAUACAGGACGAGCUUACUCUUCAUUUGCUUUUCGUUUUCUUAAGGAGGCUGUUUGCUGGGAUUUAAUAUUGUCUGUGGUUUUUUUUCAGGUUGUGAGCAUUUUUGCUCUUCAAUAUCCCAGCUGCCAGAGACAUAGGGAGAAUGGGGCUAGAGGUGGGGGAAAGAUUCUGAAAUGUACCUUAAUCUAGUCUCUUACACAGUCUUCCUUGGACAGGCUGAGGAGUUGGCAGAACAUUAUGUAAAAAGUGGAACUAACUUUGCUUUUUCUAACUGUUCCAAAGGCUACAAAUACCCCAAACUUGCAAAUACACAGGCCUGCACACUUGAGCCUGUGUUCCUCCCAUCCUUCUCCAAGAGAUCAGAAGCAAGCUGAGGGCCCGUAGAAAUUCUGCCAGCUGGGGAGGGUGUCUGGUUUUUCAAGCACAGUUGAGUGAUUCAGAGUGAAGUAGGCUGGGUGACAUCCUGGGAGCAGAGCAUGCCCCAGGCCUGUGUUAGUUUGAGGCAGCAGCAAAGGAGAGACCAAUCUGUUUUCUCCUUCAGAUGCAGAGUGGGUGAGAUGGCUGGCUUUUUCCAGGUUGCCGCCAGCUGGAAGCUUUGCCCACAGAUGUGGACUGUUUAUCUGUGGUUUGCUGUGUUUUCUUUUUUCCCUAGGACAGGAUGGGGGAGAUGGUGGGAUGGAUAGAAAGCAACAACGACAACAGAAAUUUAAUUGGUUAGUAAGACAGGAAAGCCAGCAGGGAAAGCUGACUUCCCUUAAUUGCCAAGAAUGUUGAAAAUUGUUUCUCAAAAUUACCCCAACUCCUAAAUUCUAUCCAGUGCCUCUUUACUGAGAACCUUUACAGUGCCUUGUUUGAAUAACGGGUUCAGUGAUGGAGAAGAGCCUCUUUACUGAGGCUAAAUUCUAUUCAGUGCCUCUUUACUGAGAACCUUAUACAGUACCUUGUUUGAAUAACGGGUUCAGUGUUGGAGAAAAGCAUUGCUGUUGAGGUACUUAAAUAAUUUAAUGAUGGGGAAGGGGACAGUGAUACAUAAGCAUUUAAUUAGACACCAUGAGCAGAGAAUGCUAUGGAAACCUGGAGGGGUGGGAAAGAUCGUUUGGGGUAGGGUUUAUGGGCUAGGAAAGACUUCAUAGAAAAGUUGACAAAUGGGAUGUUAUUUUAAAGGUCGAGAUGAAGUUGCACAUUCCUAGGUGGAAGGAAAGCAAGGAAUUGGGGGAUUUUUCUAUGAGCAUCCAGCACUGACCAGAACUCCUGCCCUCUAGGGUUGUUAAUGUUUCAUCUCUUAGCCCCUGAUGCGCUGGUCACUUCAGCCACAGGGUCAGGAAUUGUUCAGGCCCCCUUUUCUCCAUGUAGCUGUUUCCUUCCUUUAACUAGAUCAGUGCUCUUAGCACAGAGGGAUGGGGAUGGGAGGGAAAUUCAUCAAGGCAGGCUUUAUAUGUAGUUUGGUAUACACCGAGUAGGGGUGAGAACCAGGAUCAGUUGUUUUAUAGCAUGGCAAAUAUGUAUUGAUUUCUUU